AUUGAACGCUGGCGGCAGGCCUAACACAUGCAAGUCGAACGAGUGGCGGACGGGUGAGUAAUGUCUGGGAAACUGCCCGAUGGAGGGGGAUAACUACUGGAAACGGUGGCUAAUACCGCAUACCAUCGGAUGUGCCCAGGUGGGAUUAGCUAGUGGGUGGGGUAACGGCUCACCAAGGCGACGAUGCCUAGCUGGUCUGAGAGGGUGACCAGCCACACUGGGACUGAGACACGGCCCAGACUCCUACGGGAGGCAGCAGUAGGGAAUAUUGCGCAAUGGGCGCAAGCCUGAUGGAGCAAUGCCGCGUGUGUGAAGAAGGCUUUCGGGUUGUAAAGUACUUUUAGCGAGGAGGCGGUACUCGACGAGGAAGCACCGGCUAACUCCGUGCCAGCAGCCGCGGUAAUUC
Molecule: ribosomal RNA, 406 nt
Filed under: uncultured bacterium
Lineage: Bacteria
Description: partial 16S ribosomal RNA
Rfam family: Bacterial small subunit ribosomal RNA
Source: RNAcentral